RNAcentral lists this transfer RNA (89 nucleotides) under Bifidobacterium adolescentis. RNAcentral's name for it is "tRNA-Ser(gga)". It matches the Rfam family "tRNA". From Rfam's summary of the family: Transfer RNA (tRNA) molecules are approximately 80 nucleotides in length. Their secondary structure includes four short double-helical elements and three loops (D, anti-codon, and T loops). The record is from RNAcentral. Lineage: Bacteria; Bacillati; Actinomycetota; Actinomycetes; Bifidobacteriales; Bifidobacteriaceae. RNAcentral also lists the same sequence under 3 other names.
UGGAGAAUUCGCCUAGUGGUCUAUGGCGCACGCUUGGAAAGCGUGUUGGUGUAACAGCCUCACGAGUUCGAAUCUCGUAUUCUCCGCCC